UGGGGAAUAUUGGACAAUGGGCGCAAGCCUGAUCCAGCCAUGCCGCGUGGGUGAUGAAGGCCUUAGGGUUGUAAAGCCCUUUCGGCGGGGAAGCUAAUGACGGUACCCGCAGAAGAAGCCCCGGCUAACUUCGUGCCAGCAGCCGCGGUAAUACGAAGGGGGCUAGCGUUGCUCGGAAUCACUGGGCGUAAAGCGCACGUAGGCGGGUCCUUAAGUCAGGGGUGAAAUCCUGGAGCUCAACUCCAGAACUGCCUUUGAUACUGAGGAUCUCGAGUUCGGGAGAGGUGAGUGGAACUGCGAGUGUAGAGGUGAAAUUCGUAGAUAUUCGCAAGAACACCAGUGGCGAAGGCGGCUCACUGGCCCGAUACUGACGCUGAGGUGCGAAAGCGUGGGGAGCAAAC
This 401-nucleotide ribosomal RNA is filed under the name uncultured bacterium. Its description in RNAcentral is "bacterial SSU rRNA". It matches the Rfam family "Bacterial small subunit ribosomal RNA", at positions 355 to 773 of the family's 1533-position model. The record is from RNAcentral.